RNAcentral lists this ribosomal RNA (1981 nucleotides) under marine metagenome. RNAcentral's name for it is "bacterial LSU rRNA". It matches the Rfam family "Bacterial large subunit ribosomal RNA", at positions 945 to 2925 of the family's 2925-position model. The record is from RNAcentral.
CAUAGCAAACUCCGAAUACCGAAGAGUGCAAUCACGGGAGACAGACAUCGGGUGCUAACGUCCGGUGUCAAGAGGGAAACAACCCAGACCGCCAGCUAAGGUCCCCAAAUAUAGCUAAGUGGGAAACGAAGUGGGAAGGCUAAAACAGUCAGGAGGUUGGCUUAGAAGCAGCCACCCUUUAAAGAAAGCGUAAUAGCUCACUGAUCGAGUCGUCCUGCGCGGAAGAUGUAACGGGGCUAAGCUAUAUACCGAAGCUGCGGAUGCGUGCUUAGCACGCAUGGUAGGAGAGCGUUCCGUAAGCCUGCGAAGGUGCUUUGUAAAGGGUGCUGGAGGUAUCGGAAGUGCGAAUGCUGACAUGAGUAGCGAUAAAGGGGGUGAAAGGCCCCCUCGCCGUAAGCCCAAGGUUUCCUACGCAACGUUCAUCGGCGUAGGGUGAGUCGGCCCCUAAGGCGAGGCAGAAAUGCGUAGCUGAUGGGAAGCAGGUCAAUAUUCCUGCACCAUUGUUAGAUGCGAUGGGGGGACGGAUCGCGGAAGGUUGUCCGGGUGUUGGAAGUCCCGGUCGCUGCAUUGGAGAAGGCGCUUAGGCAAAUCCGGGCGCGGAAUUCAAGGGUGUGGCGCGAGCUCCUUAGGGAGCGAAGCAAUUGGAAGUGGUUCCAAGAAAAGCCUCUAAGCUUCAGUCUAACGAUGACCGUACCGCAAACCGACACAGGUGGGCGAGAUGAGUAUUCUAAGGCGCUUGAGAGAACUCGGGAGAAGGAACUCGGCAAAUUGGUACCGUAACUUCGGGAUAAGGUACGCCCUUGUAGCUUGACUGGCUUGCGCCAGAAGGGUGAAGGGGUUGCAAUAAACUGGUGGCUGCGACUGUUUAAUAAAAACACAGCACUCUGCAAACACGAAAGUGGACGUAUAGGGUGUGACGCCUGCCCGGUGCCGGAAGAUUAAAUGAUGGGGUGCAAGCUCUUGAUUGAAGUCCCGGUAAACGGCGGCCGUAACUAUAACGGUCCUAAGGUAGCGAAAUUCCUUGUCGGGUAAGUUCCGACCUGCACGAAUGGCGUAACGAUGGCCACACUGUCUCCUCCCGAGACUCAGCGAAGUUGAAGUGUUUGUGAUGAUGCAAUCUACCCGCGGCUAGACGGAAAGACCCCAUGAACCUUUACUGUAGCUUUGCAUUGGACUUUGAACCGAUCUGUGUAGGAUAGGUGGGAGGCUAUGAAACCGGAACGCUAGUUUCGGUGGAGCCGUCCUUGAAAUACCACCCUGGUUUGUUUGAGGUUCUAACCUUGGCCCGUGAUCCGGGUCGGGGACAGUGCAUGGUAGGCAGUUUGACUGGGGCGGUCUCCUCCCAAAGCGUAACGGAGGAGUACGAAGGUACGCUAGGUACGGUCGGAAAUCGUGCUGAUAGUGCAAUGGCAUAAGCGUGCUUAACUGCGAGACCGACAAGUCGAGCAGGUGCGAAAGCAGGUCAUAGUGAUCCGGUGGUUCUGUAUGGAAGGGCCAUCGCUCAACGGAUAAAAGGUACUCUGGGGAUAACAGGCUGAUACCGCCCAAGAGUUCAUAUCGACGGCGGUGUUUGGCACCUCGAUGUCGGCUCAUCUCAUCCUGGGGCUGUAGCCGGUCCCAAGGGUAUGGCUGUUCGCCAUUUAAAGAGGUACGUGAGCUGGGUUUAAAACGUCGUGAGACAGUUUGGUCCCUAUCUGCCGUGGGCGUUGGAUAUUUGAAGGGGGCUGCUCCUAGUACGAGAGGACCGGAGUGGACGAACCUCUGGUGUACCGGUUGUCACGCCAGUGGCAUCGCCGGGUAGCUAUGUUCGGAAGAGAUAACCGCUGAAAGCAUCUAAGCGGGAAACUCGCCUUAAGAUGAGAUAUCCCUGGGGACUAGAUCCCCUUGAAGGGUCGUUCGAGACCAGGACGUUGAUAGGUCAGGUGUGUAAGCGCAGUAAUGCGUUCAGCUAACUGAUACUAAUUGCCCGUAAGGCUUGAUC